This is a long non-coding RNA of Thunnus maccoyii (southern bluefin tuna), 1780 nucleotides long. RefSeq lists it as uncharacterized. The record is from RefSeq and is a predicted model, not a curated record. NCBI's taxonomy places the organism in Eukaryota, Metazoa, Chordata, Actinopteri, Scombriformes, Scombridae. The transcript is spliced from 2 exons.
UGUACUUGAGCAAAACCCUGUGAUCUACAUUCAACCUGUAAGGGUAUCUGAUGAUUUUUCUGCGAUUCAUCAAGUCAUGUUCAGAUUUAUGCUAAUCAAAUUGUGACCAAAACAAGCCCAUUUAAAGAGCACUGUGCAAGCUAAAUAGCCUCUUAAUUAAGAUUGGGUAAGAUUAAGCGCAGAUGACUUCAGAUGGAAACUUCACAAUUUACAGCCAGGGUCAAGAUUCAGGGGUGCUAGUGAGCAAUGAGGCAGUAGAUCACACUCCCUGGUAGCUCCUGCAAAUUUAUAACUACAUUUGGCACAAAUUUAACAUUUUGACAAUUCUCACUACUUGUCAACCCUAUACUGAUGAUAAAGAACAACCCAGACUUCAUUCAUGUGCGCUAGGACAGGAUGAAGGCAAGUUUGAGGAUGCAGUCCUGCAAAGGCAAGAAGCAUAAAGAGACAAGCCCUGCCACCCCCAACUCUCCUGAAGCUAACGUUAGCCACCAGAUGGCUGAUGCUGCUAUCCUAGAGGCCAUCAACUUGCUAUGUACUGAUCUACAAACCACCGAGGUUGAAAUCUACCAGAUAUCAACUCUUGAAUCAAGGAGGUUGCCACCACAAUUAGAGGAGAACUGUCUGCUCUUAAGACCGAAACUCUGAGUGCCAUCCUGGCCUUGCAAACGGCUAGCACCAAUAUGGCUCCAGCAUUACGGAGCUUGAACGUACAGCUACACACUCAUCAGAUGCAAUAACGAAGCUACAGUCAGGUGAAACCUUUAUGCACAGACCUGAAUCAGUUUACAGACAAGUGCAUGGAUCUUGAGGGGCAUCUAGAGAACAAAAUGUGCAGAUUACAAUGCUAAAGGAGGGGACUGAGAAAUGUAUGAAGAUAAAUACAUUUGUCUCGCAGCUCCUAAAAGACAUGAUAUCUCUGGAUGAUGCGCCACUUGUUGAACAUCACACAGGACCCUGCACUCAGAUGAUACAGAACCUCCUUGGUCACUUGUAGUGCAACUCCGCUCUUUUCACAACGUGACAGUGAUUCUCCAGAGAGCUGUGAACCUGAAGGACCCCUUCUACAAAGGGCAGAGGAUCCGUAACUUCCUUGACUUCACUCCCAAGGUCGCAAAACGCGGAGCAGUAUUUAACAGAGCCAGAGAGAAACUUCAGGACAAGCCAGGAGUUUGGUAUGGACUGAGUUUCAUUUUGGCACAGGCAGAGAGGAUGCAGAGGAUCCCGUGACAGACAAUGCUGCAAGUGCUGCGAGUGAUUGGAAAUCAGAAGAGACCUGGAACCACCUAAUUACUUAAGCUAUAUAUCUUGCCUCAGAGGACAUGGCUCUGUCCACUGUGUUGGAAAAUGAACUGAUGGAACUAUCAGCAGACAGCAGCCUGAAGCUUCAGCUCACACAAGUUGACCUUGCUUCUCUCUGGAUACUUGUUGCCAGUCAAUAGCACUCAAAAAUUGGCAAUCAAAUUUCUGUUGCCUCUCACCACCACCUAUUAAUGUGAGUCAGGUUUUCCAUUGCGACUGUCACAAAAUCAAAGGCAAGGAACAAACUGAAAACAACUUUGUAUGCUGCUCUGCAUGUCAGCCUCUCAUCCAUCCCACCAUGACUUGAUCUUAUUAUUUCUUAGAAGCAAACCCAAGUGUCUCACUGAGGAUAAGCAGAAUAUUUAUUUUGGUCAUUGCAGCUGACAGUGGCAUAACACUGUAUUAUGUAUUAUGUAUUCCUGAAAUAAGUUCUCGGAAUAUCUUUUUAUCCUCAAUGAAUAAACUUUGCACUCUCUUA